AAUUUUCAUUCUCUUUCUUUCUAACCUUUCAAAAAUUCUGUGAUGAGCAACAUCAUGGCUUCUCACCAUCUCCUUCCUUGCCUGACCCUCCUAAACUUGGCUGCUCUACUUUCUAUAGCUUUUGCCUCCAAGGUCUCCUUGAAAUCAUCUGUCAUGUACCCUUUUACGUGCUCCAAGAGCAUCAAGACAUGUAAUGCCUCGUUAUACCACAUCAAUUAUGGCCUUGACAAAGUACAAAUCUCCACCUUUUACAAUAUAAACUCAUCCCAGCUCAACCCCAUUUCCCAUGGAAACAAACAAGAUUACCUUCUCUCAUCAGUGCCUUGUUCCUGAAAAGAUGUUGAUGGCUCUGAUGCAUACUUCUACCACACAUCCUAUAUAUAUAGUUCAACAGAAUGAUACGUUUAUAAAUGUUUCAACUCAGAUAUACAGUGGACAAGCUACGGAGGACAAAAGUCAUUUAUUGUAGGAAACAAAGUGCUCAUGCAUCUGUUAUGAGGGUGUGUAGAAAGUGACACUCAAAUCAUAGUAACAUAUACAGUUCAGCAAAACGAUACUUUAUCAGAUAUUGCCAUUCAGCUAUCUGCUAAUGUAAGUGAUAUAGUAAGGAUCAACAGAAAUUUGAUUCAAAACCCAAAAAUCAUAGAUGUUGGGUGGGUGUUCCAAGGGCAAAAAAGAUGUGACUAAGAUUUUGGUUCAAUCAAGACCUUAUAUCCUAAUUUAUGUAUUUGAAACGUUUGCUUCAUAAUUAUCAAGCUACAACCAAGAAAUGAUACCGUUAAGGUAUUAUGUGUGAGCAAUUUUUUGGGCCUCCAUAUGAAUUACUUCUAAUAUUUGAGCUGUGUACCAUGUUACUUUCAACCGUACAGAACUAUUUAUUUAUUUAUUUGUCUUAAUUACCUUAAAUUGCCAUCUUUAUCUUAAACAUUUUCUUUAAACAUCAUGAGACCUUCAUUUUUAUCAUUCAUGAAAAUCUGUUUCAGCUUCUUGUCUAUCUCCCUUUCCAAUCAUGUGAAACUUACAGGAAGCUUAGCUUUACAUAAACUAAUGCUUUGGGCAAGAGAACUCAAAUGAAACUUAGAAGUGGUAAAAUGAUGUAUCCAAAAUUCCUGUACGCAUGGCAUCUGACAUUACAAAUUUAACACAGCUUCUACGCGUUAACAACCCACUAACAGAAAGAAUUAAUCAUUCAAAAUCGAAAAUCUGGUCAAUUAUUAAAAUCUCUGAGAUUUUAGUUACAUGGAUAAAAGUAAAACUCAAAGGAUAUUUUGUGUAAUUUUCCCAAGAAAAAUUCUAGCAGUCUUAGUUCCAAAGGCAGCAGAUAUCAAACGCUUAAAACAUUCGGUUGGGGUACUACUUAUCUGAUCACCAUAAGUUGUACAAAUGGACAGAUCAACUUAACCUGAGAUCUAACCUCUUUCACUGAUCCUGGUUAAGACAUUGACAAUAAAUAGAAAUUGUCAAAUCAGCCCAUCCAGUGUUGUCUGAACGUCUUGGGCAUUGCAGCUAGAACUUUCAAUCAUUCUCAGACUCUUCAAACAAGCUUAUGCCUACACGUCAUAUAAAGCAUUGAACAUUACUUUUUACUGCUUUAUAUUGUUGUCAAAAAGCAAGCAAAAUACAAAUUUAGGUUUUGGAUUCAAGGAUAUCAUUCCAUGACUUAUCAUCCUCUAGUAUCCAUAACACUAUAUGUAUGAUAUUUAACUAGGUUCCCUUGAUGUGGGGAGGCUUCCCAUAUGUAUUCAUGCUCAAGCAUCUUAAGCUUUUCAAAUUGAAUGUAAAACAACGUAAAAUAUAAAACCCCAAAUAGCACCUUGAAUGAAAUUAAGGUUAGAUACUUCACACCGUGUAUUCAAGCAGAACCCCUUCUCAAGCGAUCAAGGAUCUGCAGUCAUUAACAAAUAGCAACUAUUAUCACUUUGCUAAUAGAAAACAGUCAAAUCAGAUAUAUUCACAACGCACUAGUCAAUAUGUGCACGCAUAGAUACAUAUUUGUGCAAGUUUUCUUGUGAUUAGCAAGAAGGGGCAUUUAGAAAGUGAUAUCAGCUAUUUAUUAAUUGAAGAUAGGCAACAACUACAAUAAUAUGGAUCCUUAGAAGUGAAUCUCCUAAUAUAUCAUCAAGAAAGUGAUAAAAACUUAUAGUCCUACGGACUAUAUGUUGUUCCACACAUUGAUUAGUGUCCUCAAAAAAUUGGAAAAGAAACGAUCUUUCAUGCUAUCACGUAAAAAAGAAGUACAAUGAGGUAGUCAAAAGAAGUUCAUCAACAUACCAUGACAGGAUACUGUAUAACCCAUCCAAAAACUGGAAUCUGACAGAGGAAGACCCUGACAGAAGGCCAAAAGCCACUAAAAGAAGAACAAAAUGCAACAACAGUUAGAAGCAGCAUAAGCAAAUUAUCCUAUUUAAGCUCAUGAUGAGAUGAGAAACUAACCCAAAAAGAACAAUGCAACCAUAUAUCUCCAAGAUUAUACCAACUAUCGGCCAACGAACAAAUAAGAAAAAGAGACCCAGAAGAAAAGAAGCAGAACCCUGCAUAAGAAAGGAGAAGAUUAAAAAAGGAGAGAGAGAGAUGAAAUUACAUAAAUCUACAUCCAAUACGAUACAUUUCAAUUCUUCAAUAUAUAUAAAACAUUUGAGAACAAAGUAGUUCUUGUAAGAACAAGUUAGUGUUAUAUCCUAUGUUAAAUAUGGUUAGACUUUUUAAUGGCCUUAAAUUCAGGUAGCAUUACCAUCUCUUAACAUUUGGUUUUAGGUUCUAUGCUUAACAUGACUUAAAAGCUCAAGUUUCAAUUGCCUGGUUUCAUAGUUCAGAUGAUAACCCUGUUCUUCUUGAUUGUUCUAAUAAGCCCACAUGUGAGAUUGUGUUAUGUAGUGCUCUCACAUCAGUUGCAUUUAGGAGUCUAUAAUGGCCUUUCAUUCAGGUGUACCUCCAAACCUAUAUCUAAUGAUAGGAGCUCUAUUUUCAUUUUGUUUGAGAUUUGUUGUCACUUCAUCUCCAAGUUGACAGUGUUUACCUAUUGUCAAAUGUCAAUAUUUGCUAUCUAUGCAUAGUUCAUAGAUAGUUCUAUUCAUCUCAUUAUUUUAUUCCUUACACAUAAAUAGAAGUUUCAAGAGGGGUUAUAUCCCACAAUGCAAGUUUCAAGUUUCUAAAGUUCUUAUAUUUGGUUGGCCCCUCCAACCCAUAACUAAUUGCUUUUAGGUUUCAACCCCCACUACGUGGUUGGAAGAAGGGAAAAGAAAAAAAAAUGAGUAAGUAUGAGAAAAAGUAGGAAUUAGUUGUUUUUAAGUGCCCAGUAAACCCCCCCCCCCCCCCCCCCCAAAAAAAAAAAAAAGAAGAAAAUUUAAAAGAUAAAAUAAAUUGAAAUGGAGGAGUGGGACACAAAUUUUUUUUAAGAAAGAAAAAUGACUAAUAUAAUCAUAUAUUUAUUUAUUUAUUAUUAUUUUAUUUGGAUUUUAUGUAGUCUUCCAACUAAACUAACAUCUCUCAACUUGUGACACUAACUCAAUCAAUGGCUUCAUAAAUUAGUAUAGAUGCUUAACAAGCAAAACUAUUACUUUCAUGCCAAAUAAAAUACUGCUAAAUGAUCGAUAAAGAUGGAGCUAAGUCCUAAUCUGCCACAAAUACUUGGAUGGCCUUCAUACUCCAUAACAUACACUUCCUUAUCUAGAGGAGACAUCGCAUAUAUUUAUAGAGAAUACAAUUAGUAGAGAAACUUUUGAGGCAUUGAAGCAGGGUUGAAGCAAAUUGGAAAGAGCACCAUGCCUUUUAUCAGCCAAAUUAAAACUAAUACCUAAAGAACGCAAGGCCACUUCCAAAGUCUUGCAUAACAAUAGUAUACAAAGCAACUGCUUAAAAAUGCUGUUAUGAUAGAAGAAACCAAGCAUAAAUGAUACAUCAAGAUGUUCCUAACUUUCAUUAGAAAGCCCAAAAAACAAGGCUUUUACUAAGUGGCCCUAUUGCUAUACAGGUUGAUCUGAAAAACUAAGACUGCAUGAUAAUCUUCAGAUAGGAUAAGGAUUUUCUCAAGUCCACAAACAUGGUGCUCAUGCCACUGAAGGUAUCAAAGACCUUUCAUGAAUGAUUUAUUCCAAAGAAUAAACAUGAAGAAAUUAAAACCAUUGUAAGAAUUAUGGACCUAGUGAUUGGCACAAGGUUUUGGUAUUGGAUACCUUGUAGUUUUUCCUGUUAGUGAAAAGCUGCAAAGUAGAAUACCAACCGAUCAAAAUUGCCACCCCUGCUAAGCAAAAAAUCUGAUUGCAUAAUGUCAGAAAGUUAGAGUACUGAAAUAUAAUAAAAAAAAUUAUCAUAUUAUGUCAUAUAAUCUACAUCAAAAUAUGUAGUUUCUAAAGAAAGCCUUACAUUUCCUAGAGCAAGUAGACCCCUGUCAAAGAAGAGGAUUACACCAAGAAAUGAGAAGAAGAUACCAAAGCCAAUAAGACCCAAGCCAAUCUCUGCAAAAUUAGGCCAAAAUUUCUCAUAUUACAAGCCAAAGUUAAAUUAACUAAUUAAAUAUCUCAAGAGAAAAUAGAAAUAAUUACAGUCAAACAAGUUCAGUGAAAUAUAAAUUUUGUUCAAGUUACAUGGUGAAUUUGAUACCCAAUAAAACUUCACUUCAUGUGUGCUUAUGACCAACUACCCGUCCAUACAUUCAAAACCAGAAGACUGCUCAUAACCCAACAUCAAUGCUUGACACAAUGCAAUCAAAUGUAGGUUCAGUCACUUUAUGACAGCCUACUUUUUUGCAUUCUAAUAAGUUCACAUAAAAUUCAAAGAAACUACAUCGUGCUUAAAUCAUACACUAGGUGAGGUAGUAUGAGAAAUAUAAGUAGAAGAUUCUAUGACAUUGGAAUUUAAGAAAAUGGAAUUUGGAUGUUAAUUUAACUGCAUUUGAAAAGAACCAUAAUUUAAAACAAAACUAUCUUCAUGAAGACAGACAAAUGCUCUUUGGUGAAGCCUGCAUACAUCAAAUACCCAAUCACAUGAUAAUUACAUCCAGUGAAACAAAAUUAUUCUACACAAUUUGCACAUUGGCGCAUGUCUAAUCACUGCAAAAGAUAUAAUGUUUCAAUAAUCCAUAUCAAGCAUGGUAAGGCCACUGUGUGCAAAGUCCAAAUGAGCUCAUAUUUACACAAGAAAACUAUGCUUACUUUUUUGCUCAGUUAUUUCAUACACCAUCUUGAAAUUAUCAGCUGCAAUCCGGAUAGGCGUAAGACCUGUAGGAAGUUCAACUAAUCUACAACAUGAAUGAGAAUUGAAGUAGGAUUCAGGAAAUCAUAUAUUGGCAAUAAAUUAAAACCAUGUUACGACAAAUUUAUGUGUAGUUUUGAGAGUAAGUUGAAUUGAUGUUUAUGAACAAAUCAAAAUCCCCCAUAAUAAUUCAAACAAAUUAACAAGUUACCAAAACAAAUUAUUUAAAAAAUAAAUACAAACAUUUCCUCCUUUAGAUUCACAUGCACAGAAAAAAAUCAUGUAACAAAGAAAAAGAAAAGAAAAGAAAACAAUUCAAGAUAAUAGAAAAAAAAUAUAAAUAUAAACCCAGAAACACUAAAGACUGAUCAAUUGAAAAUCAACGGAAAAAGAGAGUUUACCCUUCAGCAAAGCAAUGAAAGCCGGUCGCUGCUUCCCUGGAAGGCUGAAGCAGAGCUCCGCUACCGAUUGUUUUGACUUCAUUGAAAACGGUCCGUUUAAUGAAUCAUGAACAAUUGCAGGCUUGGGCUUGUAAUUAGAUCCGCUACAAAUGGACCAUUAAUUAAAAGUCCAAAGCCUAGGUUGGGCCUAGAAUCCAAUGUUAAUGCUAGCCCAGUGUUCGGUCAGCUCCUCCAUUGCAAAGAGAAGAAGAAAUCAUGCUAUGACCAUGAACGCUGCCAAAAUCAACAUCAUGUGUCCCAAAAUCAAAGUGAAACUUGCAAUCGCUGCUCAAACACAUUGGUUAAAAGUAUUCAUAAGUACCUGCGCUUUGGGUUUUCGUUAAUUUAGCUUCUUUAUUUUAAAAUUAAUUAAUUUAAUUUUUAUACUUUAAAAUUUUAUACAACUGAAUCUCACUCGUUAAUAUUUUAGUAAUACUGUAAAAUAAAUACUGUAAAUAAUUAUUACUGUACACACUCAACAAUCAUUUUAUCUUAGCUAGAUAAAAAACAUAGUUUAUUUUAUCUAUGAUAACUUUAAAGAUUGAUUUUAGAGUGCUCGUCAGCAAUUAAUUAACAAUGCAUUCCUUUCAACUUCCUAAGGCUAGGGGAUGGAAGUCGGAUAAGAUUUCCAUUCAUUAUAAUUAUUGCUUACUAUAAGUUAAUUUGACAAAUUGUGUUUUUGUAUUUUAAACAUGUUAGAUACGAUUACAUAUGAAACACAUUAAAUUAAAAAUGAAUACGACAUGAAUAAUAUUCGUAUCUUAAAUGUAAAACACGUAUAUAUAUACGUUUAAUAAUCGUAUAACACAACAUGACAUUAUUAACACACUUGUUAAAUGUGUCAAUAUAUGACAUGACAUGAUUAAUAAUAUGAUGAACUCAAUUAAAUAAAAAUAUUUAUAAUUAAAUAUAAUUUUAUUAUUUAAAUUUAAAACUAAUAAUUAUAAAAAUAAUUAUAACCAAAUAAAAUAAUAAUAACAACAUCAAAUAUAACAAAAUAAAAAUUCAAAAUUAGGCUUUGGACAUGGUAUAAUUGCAUUAUUGUUUUUAUAAAAUUUAAAAAACUUAUUAAAAUUAUUAUUUAAAAUUAUUUAAAUAAGGUUAAAACAGUAUUUGAUUAUUAAUUUUAACAAGUUGAUAAGCAUGCCACAUAUACAUGUUUAAAUAUAAUAAUACAAUUAAACACGUAUAUAUAUUUAAAUACAAUAAUACGAUUAAUUAAACGUACUUAAAUGUAUUUUAAACGUGUUACUUGUGUCUGACACAUUAAGAGAUAAAAUACGUUAAAAUUAAAUUCAAACUUAUUUAAUCUCGUAUCUCCUUAUAUCGUAUUAACGUGUUGUGUUCAAAAUUAAUAAAUCUAACUAAACAAAUAUUUGAACCUCUAGUGGAGCUCUAAACCCCAUAAAUAAUGACCAUGAUGUCAGUUUUGCUGGGGGGUUGGUGCAAUGCACCUUGUAAAAGAAGCUUGUUUUUCUUUUAUUGAUUUGUGUACAUAAAAAAAAGGAAAAACAAAAAAAUUGGCUAAAGCCCAAGCUGGGAAGUCAUUAUCAUCAUCAAUAACUUAAUUGAAUCAAAUAUGACUUGAGUAAAAUAGCUCAGUUCAAUUGAUUUAUUGAAUUUAUUGAUUUUAAAAAGUUUCAUCUAAUUGAUUCAUUUAAUCGGUUUUCGAUUUUAAAAUUUUUAAACCGAGCUAAUCAAAAGAUUAAAUUAAUAUUAUAUAUCAUUUUUAUAUUUAUAUAAAAUUUAAAUUUUAAUAUUAAUUUUUAUAUUUAUAUUUUAUAAUUAUGAAUAAAAUUUAUAUAUUUUAAUAUUGUAAUUUAAAAAAAAUGAUCAUUUUGAUCCAAAAUGGAACCAAUUCAUGUUUGAUCCUUUUGAUAUUUUCUUAUAUUUGGUCAAUUUUGAUCAAUUUUUUAAAAAUAUUUGCUUCAGUUUAUUUUUAAAUAUAACGAAUCAAACCGAUCAAACCAUCCAAUUGCUCACUCUCUACUCUCAGGGCAUGCUUAGUUAAGGAAAAUGGAAUAGUCAUUCCUCCUCUAUUCUCAUUAUUGAGAUAAAGCUGUAUUUGGUUCAAUAGAAUGGUUAUUCUUCAGAAUAACCAUUUCAAGAGAAACUUGAAUAGUCAUUACCAAUACCUCUAUUGGUAAUAACUAUUAUAAAUUGUCAAAAAUAAAAAAAGAAGUUGAUUAGACAAAUAUACAUUUUUACAAUUUAAAAAAUUACCUUAUAAAAAAAUACUAAACCUUUUUUUUUUCUCCCUCUUCCUCACUCCUUCUCUCUCUAAAGCACAAAAGACACAAAAUUUUUUACUUCGUUUUCAAAAAAAGAGAAAUGAAAAAAUUUAAAUAUUAUUUAAUAUAUUAAUAUUAUUUCACUAUAAUAAGUAUUAUAAAGUAUAUUACUUAAUAUUAUUAUUUGAAUAUAAUAAAUGCAAUAAAGAAUAUUAUUUAGUAUUAUUUAAAUUUAAUGAAGAAUAUAUUUUAUCUUUAAUAUUAAAUAUUAUUUAAUUAUAAUAAACGGUUUAAUUAUUUUAUAAUAUAAAAUAUUAUUAAAUUAUAAUAAAAAUAUGUUUGUAUUUUGGUGAAAAUAUUAUUUAAUUAUAGUAAAAGUUAUUUUAAUUUUAUUACUCAAAAUACUUUUAUCUUUUAACAAAAUAAAUUCUUUAAUUUUAAUAAAGAGUAUUUAUUUCUCAUAAUAGUUUUUUUAUUUUUAAUUAAAAAAUAUUUAAAUUUUAAUAAAAGGUACUUGUAUCAUUUACUUAUUAUUUUUUAACCAUUUUUAAAAUUAUUCUUACUAACCAAAUAAUGAAAUAAGUAAUAAUAGUAAUUUCUAUCUUAUUUUAUUUUCAUGAACAAUCUACAUAAUAAUUAUUUUUUCUCUAUUAUAUUCUCUUGAAAUGAUGAUUUUAUUUUCAUUUUAUUUUUUUCAAUGAACCAAGCAUGCUAUCAAUCUCAUUGACAGCUGCUUUGACAUAUUCUUCGGAGUGCCAAACUUGUUAUGGUAGAAAAGGGUCCGACCAUGGCAAAUAAGCCUCCUUUAUAAAUUCUCCCAUCCCAUGGAUCAUCAACACCAUUAUAAUAAAUUGUCGCCUAAAGAUAUUUGAGCGGUGGCUUUCUUCAACCAAAUUGGUCAAAGACAUAGGCUGGGUCCGUCUUUGCCAGGAUUUGGGCUUUUCUGGCCUAACUAAAGUUUCUGUCCACUGUAGAGCCCAAAAGAUAUUGGGCUUUAUCUCUCAACUAUUAGUGGAAGAUUGCCCAAAACAUUUGGGCCAAAAAGCAAAAGGGCAAGAAAAUUUGAAUACAGAGUCGCACAACUUGCCUCAAAACUACUUAUAAACCAUAUUCCUCCUUUCCUUCCGUUUCUCCAACUUUCUCUUCUCCCCUUUUUUUGAAUUUGUUUCAAUCAAGAUCAUAUUAUUGCGGCUUUUUUUGGGGGUAGAAGAAAGCUCUUUUGUCAUCGAAAUCAUUGAUUGGUACCUUCUCUCUUUACCCCUUUGUUUAAUUUUCUUUUCCAAAUUUUAUUUUACUAUCAGUUGCAUGAAAUUUUCUAUUGUUAAAUUUAAAUAUCGCUGGGGAAUUGUAAUAAAACCAUAUGAAAAAUGAAUUAAUAAAUGUGGUUUUUCAAUGCUAAUUUGGAUGUUUUAGUUUGCUUGUAAAAACAUUUAGCUAAUUCUGUUUCUUCGCGUCCGUAUUAAUUUUUAUGUUAUUGGCAACGGUGUAAUAUUGGUAAUCUGCUACGUUCAAAGAUAUGGAUGUUACUGUCUUAGGCAUAACCUUUCAAGUUAAAAUGAUCUGCUUCAACUUUUUACUCGCUUUUAGAAUCAAUAUGAAUUUGGGUUGUUGCUUUUGCAAGCAAUUAAUGUCAUUUGAAAGCAUAGGUCUACUGGGGUUGGACUCUUAUUCUAGGUCGACUUAAAAUCCGGAUAGUUUCCGUUAUCAAGUUUAGGUUGCAUCUUGCUUCAGUAACCUCUAUCUAUUACUCUUUUCCUUACUUUGAUGUUUUAGGGUAUAACUGUUUCUGUUACAACAGUUCAUCAUAGGAUCCCGAAGCUUUUAUCUUCUUGAACCUUGGCUUCUUUAGCAUAUUUUUGGUUGUGAGACAUUGGAGAGGAAAUGAAUUUAAAUUACUAGAUAGUAUUAAACUUUAUGUUUAUUAUUGAUUUUAUUUUAAGAAUUUAUCUUGAUCUCAAAUGAGUUGAGUUACAUUAUGGUUUGCUCGGUUGGGGUGCUUAGUUUUCCCAAACAACCAAAUUGAGCAUUAAAAUGAGUACCUGUUAGAAUAGUUAUGUUUGUAUCAUUAGUGUAUGGAGAGAGAAAGAGAUCAGGCAACUCAAUUUCCUUGCUAGUUAUUGCUGUAACAUUCUGAAAUUUUAAUUGAUAUUGAUGUGAGACAAUGUUUUGUAAUAAAAUGUCAAGAUAUUUAUUCCAAGCUAAGCUGUCUAAUUUGAGGAGAUGUAAGCAAUAUUCCUUCCGAUUCUUUGGCCUUAUUCUACAAAUUUGUGGAUCGCUGAUAAGAAGUGGCCUUUUUAAACUUUAAGUAUAGGAGUGAAAAGGUCAAAAGACCUUACAACCUGGAAAUGCAACUUUUAGGUUAAAGAAUCAAUUUGGAAUAAUUUAAAUUGUUUACAAGGUUUAAUAUAGUUCGCAAUCAGCUUUGUUGAACUGUCUUGUGGUUCUUUGGGUUUUGAUUCGGUUUGGUGUUGUGCUGGUACAUAGAUUUUAAGAAUUCUCAGAUUUGAAACGCUAUCUACUUGCUUAAGACAGGUAAAAAUUACAAAAGAAAAAAACUGUUUCUUUCCAACAGAAAAAAGAACAUAAUGAAACUAAGAACUAAGUUGUUGCUGAUGUUUUGUUUUUCCCAAGACACGUUGGGGUGUUGCGGUUUCACCAUCAAAGGAGAAUGAAAAUUUUAAUGGUUAGUUGUAAAAUUUGUUUGUAAGAAUCUUUGUUGUUUUUGUUCGCCGGUCACUUUAACAUAUCCUGUCUUUCACCUAGGAAAGUUUUAUUGUUGUGUGUGUGUGUGUGUUUUUUUGUGGUUAUCUCUUUGUAUAUGCUUUGCUUGCAGUGUAAGAGCUUAUGGGCAUUUUCUGCUUUUAUAUUCUUUUUGGGUUUUUAGAUGGGUUUUCUUUUCUGGGGUAUGCUUGUAUUUUUGUUAUUUAUAGUUGUGCUUUAUAUAUUUGUCUACUUUUUUGAAGGAAGAAUCAUUGGCCGCACUUUCAUUCUUUUUUGGAAGAGAAAGAAGAUAAAGGAUGGGAAGAAGAUUAGGAGUUGGAAGGUCCCCUUCCUCCUCCUCCUCUGUGCUUAACCAAAAGAUUCUCAGCCGUCGACUCUUGUCAUGCCAGCAGUAUGCUGGUUCCACAGUCGAUGAAAUUGUGGAGCUCCUUCAAACUAACUACCCUGAUUACAGACGCAUCAAGAAGCAACCUUUAACCAGGGUGGUCAAACAGGCCCUACAAGCUCUUCAGUCCUCUUCCAAAAACAGCCAAAAGGCCUCUCUUUCCGUUUCUGAUUUCAACUUUGAUGAUGAUGGACACAAUGAACUUGCCAUUGCACCUUUUUCUUCUUCUCCUCCUCCUACCUGUUCUCGGAAGAAGCCAAGGAGAAUGGAUGAGACUGAAGAAAGGUUACAGCGUAUGGAGGAUUUGCACAUUCAAAGGCGACAGAUGCAGCACAACUCCAACUCUGAGUUAGACUCGGAGUCAUCUUCUUCUUCAUCAUCGUCUUCAUCUGAAGAAGAAGAAGAUGGGGCAGUUUCGACUUCGGAAGAUGCCAUUUAUGGCCAAAAAGACGAGCCCAAGUUUGAUUUAAUGAAAUCAAUGCUACGACAAGGUUACACUCAAUCCAACAGCUCAAUAUCAAAGCUUGAAGAAAAAAAUAUUGAAAUGGAGAUUGCAACUAAUAAGCCUAAGAGUAAGAUUGAUAUGACCAAUGCGAACAAAGAGAGUGCUGAAUUGAAAAAGGAAACAAAGGUUUCAGUUUCUGUAGGCGCUGCUGCUGAUGGUGUGGAGGUGAAAGGGAUAGAGGGGCCAAGGUUCAGGGAUUUAGGUGGGAUGGGAGGAGUGUUGGAGGAGUUGAAGAUGGAAGUCAUUGUGCCUCUUUACCAUCCACAUUUGCCACGGUGGUUGGGAGUCAGGCCAAUGGCUGGCAUUUUGCUCCAUGGACCGCCUGGCUGUGGGAAGACCAAAUUGGCCCAUGCCAUUGCCAAUGAGACUGGUGUUCCCUUCUAUAAAAUUUCAGCUACCGAGGUGGUUUCUGGUGUCUCAGGUAUUCGCCUUCUGUUAUAAGUCGUGCUGCUGAAUAUGAUAAUUAGGCUGAGCAUGAUUCUUGAAGUUGUUGUGUAGAGUUUGGAUAAAUGAAAUUAUUUCGUUAACAAUGAUGGGAAGCUUUAGUAAAGGCAAUGUGUUUGCUAAUAGUUUAUAGUUUCAUAUUUAAUUUCUCAGGUGCAUCAGAAGAAAAUAUCAGGGAACUCUUCUCAAAAGCAUACAGGACUGCCCCAUCGAUUGUAUUCAUUGAUGAGAUUGAUGCUAUUGCAUCUAAAAGAGAAAAUCUGCAGAGGGAGAUGGAGCGCCGGAUUGUCACUCAGUUAAUGACUUGUAUGGAUGAGUCUCAUGGACUUGUGCAACCAAGUGAUAAAGAGUCAAAUUUGGAGAGCUCUGAUUCCAAACCUGGUUAUGUCCUUGUAAUUGGAGCUACCAAUAGACCUGACGCUGUUGACCCUGCACUACGGCGGCCUGGACGAUUUGAUCGCGAGAUUGUUCUUGGUGUUCCGGAUGAAAAUGCUAGGCAUGAGAUCCUUUCUGUGCUUACACUAAACCUUAGACUCGAAGGCUCUUUUGAUCUUUGGAAAAUAGCUAGGGCUACACCAGGGUUUGUUGGAGCAGAUUUGGCUGCCUUGGCUAACAAGGCUGGUAAUCUUGCCAUGAAGAGGAUCAUAGACCAAAGAAAGCAUGAGUUUUCUAGAGAAUCUAUAGAUGAGGAACAAGCUGAUGAGUGGUGGAGGCAGCCUUGGUUGCCUGAGGAGAUGGAAAAGCUCACCAUUACCAUGGCUGAUUUUGAGGUAAUUAAAGCUAAACUUUUUUCUUUUCAUUUAUUUAUAUGAUUAAAAGUAACCUGACAUGUAUGCUUAGUGGCUUACAUGUGUUCUAUGCUAUUAUCUGCAUGUCUGUCAAUGCCAUAGAUAUCAAAGUUGUUUGGGAAAUGAAUUUGUAUUGUCAUUUCUAGAUUCAAUUUUACUACUUGCAAGUUUCUCUUUGACUGCUAUGUGAUAUAGUUUAAUUGCCAUGAUUAAGAGUUCUAAUGAACUAUAGAGUUACACUUGAUGUUUUUAUAAUAGUUUGAAACAAAGGUGUUGUUUUUCUGUAUCUGUUAUACAGAAGUAAUUCCUUCACAUUAGAAAGUUUUAUAUGAAACUUAUGCCCUUUGUUUAUGUAUUUGCUUACUUGAUCAUGCCCCUUUCUUUUUCUCUUUUUUAUAAAGAAAUUGAAAAAUGUUUUACCUGCAGGAAGCAGCUAAAAUGGUUCAACCCUCAUCAAGAAGAGAGGGAUUCUCUACAAUUCCAAAUGUUAAGUGGGAGGAUGUUGGUGGUCUUGAUUUCCUAAGGCAGGAAUUUGACCGUUACAUAGUUAGGCGCAUAAAAUUUCCCGAGGAUUAUGCGGUAAUUAUAGAUAGUAGCUACCUCUUUAUUCUCUCUCUCUCUCUCUCUCUCUCUCCUGUUCCAAAAGGGUUAAGAAUAGACAUAAAAAAUAGAAAUGAUUUAAAAGGAGUAGGAUUAGCCUUCUUAACAUGGUAAAUGGAAGGAAGCCAACCAUGGAAAAAUUGGUUAGAAUGUUUGAAACAUGUCUUACAUGGUCUCCAACUUUGUUGACUUGCAAGCUCAGCAUAACUACAAUCUAGGCCCAUAUAUACUUUGUCAGUCAGAUUGCUAUUAUAAAAUGUGCUUUUCAAAUCUUUGAAUUAUUCACAAUGUCAGGAAUUUGGAGUGGACUUGGAGACAGGAUUUUUGCUUUAUGGACCACCAGGCUGUGGUAAAACAUUGAUUGCAAAGGCUGUCGCUAAUGAGGCUGGAGCCAAUUUCAUUCACAUCAAGGUCAGUCUGCAGCGUAUAUUUCCUCUUGAUUCCAAUUUCUUGUUCACUUUUUGUUUGUUAAAGAUGAUGUUAACUGGUACUUCAAUGCUGUAAGCUAAUUUUUCUAUGUUUGUGUUGCAUUAAACUCUUAACGAUUAUGAGUGCACUUGCUGAUUAGGGUCCUGAACUUUUGAAUAAAUAUGUUGGAGAAAGUGAGCUGGCAGUGCGGACAUUAUUCAGCCGUGCUAGGACAUGUUCACCAUGCAUACUUUUUUUUGAUGAGGUUUGUGGUUCUCUAUUUUUCCAUUUCUAAAUGAAAGAAACAAUUCUGGAGAAAAUAUUACUACUCCUAGUGUCUUGAGAUUUGAUAUUUUUGACGUCUUUCUGAUAAUGUGUAGGUGGAUGCUUUGACCACAAAGCGUGGAAAAGAGGGGGGAUGGGUUGUUGAGCGACUUCUGAACCAGGUUAGAUAAUCUAUAAUGGUGAUCUCUUAACAAACUCAUGAUCAACUUUUUUAUCUUGUCUGUAUAACAAAUUUUCAAAUUGCAAAGAAUGACAUGGAAGCAUUGGUCAUAAUUGCAGUUACUGAUAGAGUUAGAUGGUUCGGAUCAGCGGCGUGGAGUAUAUGUUAUUGGUGCCACUAAUAGGUAGAAUCUGUUGUUUCCAGUUUUUGAACGAGGAUCACCGUUUAUCUUUUCUUUACUCUGUUUGGUUUUGGCAGACCUGAGGUGAUGGAUCGUGCUGUCUUACGGCCUGGUAGGUUCGGCAAACUUCUCUAUGUCCCUCUCCCCAAUCCAGUUGAACGUGGGUUGAUCUUGAAAGCUCUUGCUAGGAAGAAGCCAAUAGAUGCCAGUGUCGAUUUGAGUGCCAUUGGACGUAUGGAGGCAUGUGAUAAUUUAAGUGGAGCUGAUCUUUCUGCACUGGUAUGCCCGCAAUUUGUUUUUUUGCUUGAGUGAAAGUUAAAGAUUGAAAACAUCUUCUGAAACCUUUUGUGGGGCUGGGUUUGCUGCAUUGCUUCAUCGGUAUGCUUGGAGAUCAAUGUCCAUUAACUGCCAUUAGGAAACAACUAACAGAAUUUCUUUCUUUCUUUUCUUUUUGCUCCUUUCGACAGUAUCCAACCAUGUAUACAUAGAAGCCUCGUUCUACAUUAAAGUCCUAGAAAGGACUGGUUUUUCCCUGAAAGACUAAUUUACAUUUUUGAUGUUUCCUCAUUAAAUACUAGACAUGUUAAGGCUAGCCCAGAAAGUAAAAUACUUUGCAAAAGAACCCCUGAUCUGUUUCAUGAUUCUAGACUUGAGCUAUGCCCCUUGUGUGCAUUGUACUUCUAGAAGAACUUAAUCAAAAUUGUAAAAAUUUUAAUCAAAAUUGGGCUUGAAAAUAUUCAGAUGAAUGAAGCUGCAAUGGCUGCUUUGGAAGAGAAACUCACAUCAACUGGGAUCUCAGAUACUUCAUGGACAAUCAAGACAUUCCAUUUUGAACGAGCACUGAGUAAAAUCUCACCCUCAGUCUCCGAUAAGGUAUAUUUUACCUUCACUCACUCAAUUAUGGCUUCUGACGAAUAGAUUCUUGAUAGCAUUGACUAUGUAAAUCUGUAAUUACCCUAUUUUUAAUAUCUUGAUCAUCUGGGAACAGCAAAAGCAGUUCUACCAGGCAUUGUCAGAGAGCUUCAAAGCAGCUUGAGAAGAGACAAAUCCCCUUUGUUAUACCAUUAGCAGGAGCUGUAAUUGAUGUCUGAUACUGAGAAUUGCAUUGCAAAGAAGUCAUUCUCAACAUGAAGAUGGGUGUGAAUUGUUCAACUGUACUCUGUUUAUAUGCUUUUUUGGGCCUAAUAUUGAGUGUUGAAGGAAACUUGCUUCUCUCCUCAUGAGCGAAAAAAAUUUUGUUCCGGCACAUUAAGAUUUUGUUAGUGGUGGAAGUAGUUUGCAGAAAAUACAGCGGAGAAACAUGUAUUUAUCCAUUUUAAGAAAUGCAAGGGGACUUGUUGUAUUAGUUCACCCCUUUUGAGUAAAGGUUCCACCUCAUAAACUACCCUUUUUCCUUUGUUUCGAUCAGGAAAAUUGAAGACAAUUUGACUGCUGAAUGUGGCAUUCUUUUCUGCUGUAUGAAGAACUUGAUAUACCUGUGUAGAUUUAGCUCUAUUUUGAAAAGCUUGAUGUGGCUGUAUAAUUGGAAGUCCAAAGCCAAGGUUGGCCCUAGAAUCGAAUGUUAACACCUAGCCCAGUGGUCAGUCAGCUCCUCCAUUGCAAAGAGAAAGAGGAGAAGGAAGAAAUCACGGUAUGACCGUGAAAGCUGCCCAAAUCAACAUCAUGUGUCCCAAAAUCAUGCAAAGUGGAAAUUGCAAUUGCUAGGCAAACAUAAUUGGCCCGCGGCCUCGGCUCACAAGGAACAUGAUGCAUCAUGUUCAGCCAUGAGAUAGAACGUGAUUGUCUCCGGUCAUUUGCUUUGCUCCAUUAUUGCAUACGUGAUGUGAUGGCUGCCUUCGCAAUUAAUGUAACACUUUUUUUGUUUUAGGUAUUCAAAUGGUACAUUAUAAUUUUUUUAAAUAAUUAAAUAAUUAAUUCCUAAACAAUAAUCAUUCCAUCACUUUUUAAUUUUAUGAUACUAAAUUUAAUAUCACAUCAAUACAAUAAAUUAUCAUAUCAAUAUAAAUAGUGAAAAUUUUUACUACGUUAAUGAUUGGAUUGAUAUUAUUAAUUUUAAAAAAUAUAAAAAUUCAACUUUUACAAACUAUUAUAUAAAAAUUAAAUCUACUACUUUAACAACAUACAAGAACUAAUUACGUUAUUUGACGUUUUUUUACUCAUAUAUAAAUUGAGAUUAUAAAAAUAAAAAUAAUGCUUUCUUAUUUCAAGAUUCAAAAAUGAGAUUUUUAAAUCAUAAAUAUCUCGUUGAAAAUUAACAUUACAAAUUGACCCUAAUAUUUGUCCUUCUCUCUUGACUCAGAGUAAGGGUGGAUCCAUGUUGACACAAGUGAUGUCAUAUGACACCAUUGAAAUGUUAAAAAUUUAUACUAAUUACAUUACUUAUAUCAAAGUUUUUAUAUAAUUAAUAAUAUUAAUACACUUAUUAAUUAUUUUAAUUAUUAAUAUUAUUAUUUUAAUUAUGAUACUAUCCGCGUUUCUUACUGGAAAUGAGAGAAAUCUUUCGAAUACAGCAAAAGUUCUCAUAAUGAAACCCAGCCCCACGACCAUGACAGGUAUAAGCAAAACAACCCACUUGUCCGGCUCAUUUAGCUGAUUUAGACAGAAAGAGCGGACACCUGCCCUCCCUACGAGAUACCAACUGCUCAGAAUUCAGAACUUGUUCAAGAACUGACCUUCCCAGAACUUGCAAAACCCAGAUACUUACUGUCCCAAAAGACACAUGACCCUCUAAAAAUGUGACAAGUUGACUCUAUUGUUGGGGCAAUUAAAUGUUGCCCACUCCACCUGUCAGUAUAAAUACAAAGAGACAAACAACCACACUGAUUCCAUACUUAAAUUGGAUGGUAGCUUCAUAAUCAAGUGAAGGAUUUGUUUAAACCCUGCAACGAAAACACAGAAGAAAAAUGAUCUUAUUAUAGACUGAAAUUUUUGAAUUUGACCAAUGUGUAAGAUUGUCACAUAUUUAUUAAAUUAUAGUUAACAUAUCAAUAAAUUAAACUAAUUACUAAAUAGAUACGAACUAAAAUUUUCACUAUCAUCUAUCGAUGUAUCAAAAUAAUAAUUCAAAAUAUAAUAUCUCUAAUGAUUCAGUUAUACACACAACCAGACGGCAUUCCAUCGAAAAGGAAAAAUAAAGGAUAUGUUUUGUCCUAGAUAUGAACUAAUCUUAACAUUUCUUAUUUGGAUUCCAUGUGACAUAAGAUGAGUCAAAAUAAUUAUAUUACUUGGGAAAUUAAAUGCUUGGACUUUCUGAGACAGGACAUUGGAAUAAACCAAGAGGCUCAUGAGCUCUCGAGUCCUCCAUGAAUGAAUGGUUUGCAAAACGCCAAAUGUUUAGGUCCAGGCCAGCAGGCUGCCUGCUACCAUGGAACUCCUAUUUUGACUGCUUAAUAUAUUCUAUUUACUAUAAACUUUUUGCCAUUCAAAAAGUUCCUUAAGCUUGAAUGAGUUACAUCUUCUACAAUUUGGACAAUAAAAAUGAAUGUUCAGAAUUUCGAGUUUAGAAAGAGAUUAUCUCUUAUUACGUGAAUUCUAAUGGGUCUCGAUGUAUAAUUAAAUAUCACAUAGUUUUAAGUUACAAAUUUGAGCUUAAAAAAAUUAAUGAAAAGUUAAAGAGAGAAAAACAUUGGAAGAUGGGCAGAGUGAUGAUGAAGACUUUUGAUUAAUUAUUAGUUGAAAAAGUCCAAAAGAGUGAGGUCCCAGCAGGAGCGUACUGCUGGGGCAAGGAUAAUAUUGUUUUGCCAUUAUGCGUAUUGGCCUUAUAAUUUUCCCAAGUCACAAUCGUACGUCUCCUAACGCUAGUUCACUGCCAGCAUUGGAAGAUUGGAAGUUUCGCUGUCAGGGCCAUGGCUGCCUUUUCACUCAGCUGGCCGGUCUGAUAUUUUGUUAUUUAUUUCCCAAUUUUAUCUCUAUAUAUCUCACAUGUUAGAUUGAUUCCCCAUGAAGCUAAUGCUUGUAAGGGAUGCCAUACACGACUUUCUUCUUUAAGUAAAGCAUUAUCACAUAAAAAUAUGGGGAAAUGGUUGCUAUCUUCUUGUAUGUUUUGGUUGAGGCCCAAAUUAAGUUGAUAAUUACCUUUGUCUUAAUUUCAGAAUUAGUAAUGUUGGGAAAACAGAAAGAGAACAAUGGAUUGUUUUUGGAUGAAUUGUUGAAUGUCGGUAACUAUAAAUUUGUGAAAGUUGUAGUUGUGGAAUUAUAAAGGGCUCUAAAAGUCGUCCAAACUUAUUUAGUUACCAAUUAAUAUUAGUGGAACCCUACUUGACAAGAUGCUAUGAAUGACUUGCAAUUGUCUGGGUCUUAUACACUAAGUUGAACGCUGAGGUGCCCACAGAUUUAAGUCUAAAGCUAAAUUAGUCUAAAGCUAUGCUGAGUUUGGGGUCCACCCCAAAUUAGUAAAAAUUAGUAAAAACUCUCUAAAUAGACGAAAUCUGGCCUACUUUUAAUCUUUUUUAUAUGGUAGAAAUGUAUUAAGAGAGGGAAAAAAAAGAGAGAAAAACAUGAAUUUUUACAACAACUUAUUUAAAAAAAAUGAUGUUAUGAUAUUUAGAUCAUACGUACAUAAACGCAUAAAAUGACACUUUAAUGAUUAAAAUUAAAAAUUUUCAAUUCAAAUUCUAUGAUAAAAUUUAUAUUUUAUCAUAUGUAUAAAAUUUGAGAUAUAUAAAUUUAUAAUUUUAUAUGAUUACUCUUUAAUUACUUUUUUCACAAAAUUUUAAACCCAUCUCAAGAGAAGAUUAACUGUUUAUAUAAUCCUGAAUUAUAUGUGCUACAGAGGGUGCGGGUGAAACAAGAGCAGCGCAAUGAGAAGGCAAAAUUGAAGUAGACUUCUCUCUCUUAUAGAAAAGGAGGAGAAGCCACCGAACACGUGCUCAGUAAUUGGCUGUCCUUUCUCUCGUAAAUGACCCCAAUGCCACAUGCAAGUCUUUGCCCAAUUUUUGUUGUUUAACAAUCCCAAUAGUCCCCCAUGAUAGCAAUGGCCAAAGCGAUCAACGUCACCACUUGUAAUUCACAAAGGAGUUUACAUGCAUCGCCACCUCCAUUUUCGUCUUGCUUUUCCUCCCUGUACAAUUUUGGAGGUUGUAAAAAUCACUUCCUUUCAAGUACAAGGCGUGGAAGAUAAGUCUUUGCAAAUUUUUUAUUUCUUUGGUUUUUUGUACGAUGGAUAAGGUUUGCAUAAUUCUUUAAUUGCUCCUUUGCUACACUAUAGUUGGUUGUUGGCUUGUUGCUAAUCAUCCCUCUAAUCUUACAAAAAAUUAUUGAACACACAUCAUGAAAACUACGGAGUACGGACAAAUUUUCUUUAAUUUUUAACUUCAAGAAAGUUCACAUAUAUUAUAUAGAAAUUUUCUGUCAAAUCUUGAUACAUCACUCACUUAUGUAAAAAAAUUUGGUUAACUGACGGAGGUCUAUAGGCAUUGGCUGAAGAUAGUUUUAAAAAAAUUCAAUUAAUAUGAUAUUUUCGUCAGAUUCAUGAUGGAAAAUGCAUUAGUUAUAAUUUUUUUUUAAAAAAAAAUAUUACAUUAGUUGGUGCCAAGAGGAAUCUAUUACUAUUUUUCAUAAAAUUUUUGCUCUUAUAGUGACAUCUUAAAAAAAUUGAAUCACAUAGAAAUGUACUCCUUGUGGUACUGUCAAGUUCAGUGUUGACAAUUCAAUGAAGUGCAGCCCAAGAGAGACAGGAAUUGGUGACCGGCUUCACAAUUCAAUGAAAACCUAUUGGUUAUGUUGAUUCAAACCUUAUUGAGUUACUUGCUACUAUAGAAGUUUUUGUUAUUCUUGUUGUUUUUAAAUGAGACAAUUUUUAUCUUAAUUGAUUGAAAAUGAUUAAUCAAAUGCAGUUGACUGAAUGUUAAACUCCCAAACUUUUUUUUGGAGUCUAGAAAUUUUCUCCUACAAAUUAAAUAUUUAAAAUAUCAGAUGAAUAGUUGAAAAAUACAACAUAUUUUCUUAAUUGCAAGUAAAUUGACUGAUGGCUUAUUAUGACACUCUUCGUCAACAAAAGUUGUUGAUGGUGAUUAGUUAAAUUGUUGAUAUAUAUACGUAUUAGAAAUUUUUGUAAUUGUUUUGUUCUUAUUAAUUAUGUACUGGUUUGCUCCAAUACAUAUUAAUAAAGAAUCAUAUGCUUUUCCACACAAAAAAAAAAAAGGGUCAAUUACAAAAAUAUGUAUGAAUUAGGGUAAAUUACAUGCAUAAAGUUCUUGCAAAGUUAACAAGCAAAACAAAUGACUUUUUUGGAAACCUUUCAUUUAGAGAUGUAACUAUCAGCUAGAAAAUUCCAUAGUGACAUUCGAACAUCGUUAUCCUCUUCUCCAUUUCUUCUUUUAUUGAUCCGUUUGAUUAAAAUGUUUUGCAUGUGGCUAGGCAUGUAAGGUGAAAAGAAGGUUUGAACUGAUAUCACGAGAAUGUAGACAAAGUCUAUAUGGCCGUUUCGUCAUGUUGAAACUAGGGCUACGUUCUACAUUUUUUUAUUCCUAAGUAACUCUUUUGACAUGAGAAGGGUUGACAAAGCAUGCUGUUGAAAAUUGACAUGGAAGUAAUCGAUAAUUGAUAUUGAACAACUGUCGGUGAGAAACAAGGAAUAUUGUGAUAUAUAUAUAUAUACAUAUGGAGGAUCCUAUGACAAGGUAAAUUGUUAAUUUUCUUGCCCAAGGCCAAUGGUCAAGAAAACAAGUGUUUCUGUUGAUAUAGAAAGCCACUCACGUCAAUUCGUCCUUCAUUUUGUUUUUUUUUUUUGGGGUUAGUUUUCUGAUUAUUUUUAUUACAUAUAUAAAAGCAGCAAAACUCAUAAUUAAGAAGCACAAGCCGAGCAAUUAAUCUCUGAAAAUAGAUUUAAGGAUUUGUAUUUUCGUAUCUUAAUUUGUGUCUUAUAAAACAUAAAUUAUUAACAAUUAUAUAAAUAAAUACAAAUACAAAAUGAUUAAUUAAUUUUUUUAAUUUUUUUUAAAAUAUAUAUAUUAAAUUGUCAAAUUUUAAAUCAUAUCGAUACAAUUAAUACACAAAAUAAAAUUAAUUUAAUCAAAAUCCGUUUAAAUAUGUGUCAUGAACUUACGCAAAAUUGUCAAAGACUACCUAAAACCAUAAUGACAGCUCUCUCGCGUCAGGUUAACCACUAGAUUAGAAGAGGGUUCGCAUCAGAGACAAGUUAAUCCGUACAGGAAUUAGCUUCACAAAAAAACAUGCUUCAGUUCACAUUGCCACUCCUAGAAAGAGGAAAGCUAUGGAGAUGGUUGUUAAUUUCAUCAGAAGAUAAAACAAGUAAUUCGGGACAAAAUAUACAGAGAGAGAGAGAGAAUUCGGAUGAUAUAUGAAAUUUAAUAGUAAAAAAUAUUCCUUCUAAUUGAAAGACAUAAAUAGAUCAAGUAAAAGCGACAAUAGCUUAAUUCUCAAGAGCCCACAACGUGCAAGACCAAAUCUACAGAAGACAAAGACGUGACGAAGAUUUUCUCCAUGAUUUUUCAAUAAUUUCAAAUAUAGCUAUAAUUAGGGUGGAGUGACUGUUAACAGCCAUAGACUUUUUUUAAGCAAAUUUGACAAAAAUCAUAAAUGAAAAAAAUUUAAUUAGGCUUAACUUGCUGCCAGCUACUAGUUAUGAAUCACACGAAAGACUGACAGUGAUAUCAACUUUUUUUUUAAAAUAUAUAUUUUUUUUAAUUUUCAAGUUGGAUAAGUUUCGAAGUGUGACCAAGUGUCCAAACUUUGGCCAAAAGCCUUCACUUCGCUGGACUGUCGUUUUCCUUAUUUUGGCCUUGGGGUUGGUGGCAUGUUGAUCAUCGAAGCUUAAUUUUCAGGUCAAAAAAUGUGCAUACAUUCUCUCCUUGCCAGAUGCCCAUGUCCCAAAACUAUUAAUUAAUUCUCUAACAAAGGACAUUAUCCCUUUCUUUUGCCUUUUCUUUCUUAAUUUUGUUGUUUAAAGUAAACAUGACUUACCUAAUCAGUAAUCCUAGUCUACAUUGAGUUCCUGCUGAACUUACUGUACUUACGUGUUCACCGAGACAAAAGUCAAUUCAAAAGGCAAAAUAUUUUUAAAAAUUUAAAUAAAAUUUAAUUAUUUUAUUAUAUUUAAUUAAAAUUUUAUAUUUUUAUUUUAAAUUAAAUAAAUUUUUAUAAUUAACAGUUGAUUCAUUCUAACCCAUAAGAUAUAAAUGAUAAAUAAAUUUUAAUUACCAACCGUUCGUUAAUGUUAGUUAUAGGAAUUUUAUUGAUCGAUAAUAAAAAUAUAAAAAUUUAAUUGAAGAUAAUAAAAUAAUAAAAAUAAUUUAAAUUUUCAUAAAUGAUUUAAGAAUUUUUUUUAAAUAUUAUGUCUUAUCUUAAUGAAUUUUUUGUUGUGAAUUUAUAAGUUACCAAAAAAAUUGUAUAAAAAGUGCACUACAUUAAUAAGUAUCUAUUCCAUUUAAAUUUUAAUGACAUACAUUCAUAUAUCGUUUUAAAUGAUAUAAUAAUUCAAAGAAAAUGUAACAGAUCAAUCUCUUUAAUUAAUCAACACAAAAUUUUUUAUAUUAAAGGCUAGAUCCAGAAGGUCUUAAAAAAGGACAAUUUAAUGUCAAGAUUUUAAGGCAGAAUCAUAGAAAUCUUGAACGUGUAUAUCAAGAAAUAAAAAUCUAGCAAUACUUUUAAAACGUGCACCUCAUACAGCUGCCCAAUAUAAACCCUAUUUCUCGUAUUUAAAAACUUCACACAAAACCUCAAAUUUAUUUAUUUUUCUUUAUUUUUUGCUGUAAUCCAUGCUGAAGAUAUUAUUAUGCAUAUACUAAUAUAUUACCAGGAAUACAGCAUUGUCGGUCAUUAAACAAAAAAAAAAUUGAAGGGAUUAAAAGCCACCUCCCCCACAUUGCAAAGUGUAAUUAAUUGCAUGUACAAUUAAAAGAAGGACAAAUUGGGAAACAAUGAAUAAAACAAUAAACUUUAUAUUAUAUGGCCGAUUUAUUAGCUGUUAGCGGCGGCUGGCUCUUUUGGCUGGGCAUGCCAAUUAUGUGCAUCCAGUCAAUAUGAAAGGAAAUGGGAUCAAUACCCAUUAAUGAAUAAGGUAUCAACAUUUUUUUUAUGAUAAUUAAUUUGAUGCAUUUUUCUUUGGUUGUACUUGGAAAAUUGUUCUCUUCUGGCACGUUCUAGGAAAAACAGUAACCAUUGGAUUCAAAUUGGAUAAAUAAACUUUCUCUAAUCCCCACCAAAAUGUUGUUUAGGUUAGUGAUUUUAGAACAUAAUUAGGUUAAAUAUAAUACUAAAUUUUGUGAUGGAUGACACUUUAAAUUGCAAUCAAACUAAUUGAUUGAACUCGAAUUCCCUCUUCUCAAUCGAAAAAAUAAAUAAAUAAAAUAAAAAUGUGAUGCGAUGAAACGAAAUUAAUAAGUGUCAUUAAUCAAAGGCAAAAAUCGUAUCGAAGAUCACUGCCAUGCAUGUGAGUAGUCGUGGGGGACAAUGCUUAAUUGAUUUGAUGCUGAUAUGUCGAUCCAUCAAGGGCCAAUAAUAUUCCUUUGAAUUAUUAUUGUUUAAUGAUUGUUUUAAUUAAACGUUAAUUCAUCGAGAAAGCAAUAAACGUGGAGGGUCACAUAGUUUUGUCCUGUUUGUUUUACGAGAAAAUUUUUGCUGUCCUCUUAUAAGCACAUGAGUUUAAAUACUUGUUUGGAACAAAUGGGAAGACCCAAAACAGCUUCUUCCAUGUUUGCAUCGGCAUCAAUAAAUCAAGGAGGUUUAGCCUUAAUAGCUAAUAGACCAAUCAAAGAUACAUCAAAGACUAUAAACAGUUGAUAUGAUUAUUCAAAGACCAAAGCCAAUAAUUGUUUCUAUUGACAAAUAGCUCUCUUUCCAUGUAAACCAAUGAUUUCUACUUAAAUACAGCUCACGUAUACAUAGAAAACUAUGCAUCAAACGUUUAUUUUACAUCUUAAAUUGGAGAGAAUCUCUUUAUCAUCAAGUUGAUCUCAACCGUACACCAGUUGAGCUAAGCCUGAGGAUUAAUAAUUCUGCAGUGUCCUUGACUUCUGGAAGCUCAUGAUAAAUAAAAACAAAAAUCAUUCCAGAGCAUAGAAGCUGCCAGAAGAUGAUUCACACAGGGGCCGGUCACUUUGUAAAGUGCAAACAGUACGUCAUGAUGUAAUAAAAACCCCAAAAUUGCUUAGAACAAGAUGUGCAGAAAGGGCUAGAACUGAUUCAUGAUACAUUUUGCAGAAAGGAAAGAAAAAAGGGGGAAGAAGAACCCGACAGUGUUAGGUGAGGAUCACUUGAGUGUUUAAUUAUACAAGCUGUGCCAAGUGGCUACCCAAAAUUGAAAUGUUAGUGAGGAGAACUUAGAUGUAAGUGGUCCUUUGAUGACUUCAACAUGGAUAGUUACUAAAUUUUGUAGUCUUUCUUUAUAUUUGCCCCUUGGUUACUCCAUGAAUCCUACAUUAUAAGCAUUUGAAAAGGACAAGUUUUCCACCAUUUUAAUUCCUCCAUUCUACUGUUUUCUUUUUUUCCUCUUGUUUACUGUCUUCCACUAACCUAGCCUGUAUACCCUGUCUGUUCUUUCUAAUCCUUCCUCCAAAGGCAAUCAUAACAAAAAGUAGAAGCAAAAUUAUAUAAGAUAAUGUUUCCAUAUUCCUUUACCCUUUGGCCCCAACAACUCAACUCUACCUUUAACACACUCUGAAUUAGACUUUUCAAUGGUGUUACUUUACACGGCAUUGACUGUGUUAUAGAAAAACAGGGGAGAUAUGAUCUUAGGAUAUGAAAAAAAUGGCUUGAUUUGCUUCUCUCUCUUUUUUUCUUUUAUUUGUUCUCGACAAAGGGGGAUUUUAUUUAUGAAUGACAUGACUGACUUGAUCUAGAUUUGUGUCCUAACCACAUUACUUUAAAAAAAAAUUAGGCUUAAUUACUGUGACAGAGCAUUAAUUGUCCAAUUUCUUCAUUAUCAUAUUGAUCACAAUCUGACAGCUAAUUUAUGCAACAAUUAAAACUAGUUGAGAGUACCCUGAGAAGUUGACUUUCAGGCUCAUGAGGCCUGCAUUUUUCACAAUCUAGAUAGAAAUUAAGAAAAAAAAAAUUGGAGAUAUAUGGAGUAUUACAUAUAUGCUUUGUCUCAAAAUACAAGAAAUCGAUUAAUCUAUCUAUCAAAAAUGGAUUUGAAUUUGUCAAAAUACUGAUAUAAAUGACACUAAACACAAAACCCAGAAUAAAUUUAUGGAAUUGAAGUAAAUUUGAACAGGUUUUUGAGGGUGGUCCAAAAAGAGGAAGUAGCUGAUUAUAGGACAGCGGGGACAAGGCUGCUCGUGUUCUGAGAAACUUGAAUUAUUAUUUCUUGCACGAAAAUGAAAUUCAACUCAACAUAAAGUAUUAUUUCAUUUUUUUUCUCUCUCUCUCUUUUAACAACUUUUUUUUUUGUUUCUCUUUGGUGUGUAGCUUAAAUUUCCUGCAAAAGCUGCGGGGCCACCUGAUUCAAUUUCACAUGCCCCUGCGUCAUGAUUGAGAAAUCACAUGGAACAUGAGAAACCGAUAGAAAAAUUUAAAGCCUUCCAAUCAGUGAAUGGAGGGUGGGUAUAGACGUGCCAUUGUUUGCCAUAAACGUGCAUGUUUUGAUGAAUAAAAAAAAUUAGCCAGAAAUUGCACCGAAACCAGAAAAAAAUUCUAGAUAAUAACAGAACAGGUGGCCUGAAUCAUAGCUCUUCUGUAAUUUACUUGCAUGGUAAUAUGAACUGUCCGUCUUCCGACUUCGAUCCCUAUAUUCUGCUUCGGAUUUAUAGAGUUUUGGGGUUUUAUACAUUUUUGUGAACAAGGAUUUGGUGACUUUUCUGACAUCAUUGUUGAAAUUUGAUAUUCAUCAGAGGUUAAAAACUGAAAAAGGAAUAUUGGAAGCUGUCCAUGUGCAUGAAGGUAGGAUUAGCCGUUGGAUAAUGAAGGAAUAGACAUGAUCAAAAGGGUAGGAAUGUGCCACGAUUUACCUCAGCAAAUUCGUGGUCAAGUCAGUAUAGAAUUCCAGGCCAUCGUAGGCAAAUAAGCAGCGGCAGCAGCAAGCAGCCCUCUUUUUUUUUUUUUUUUUUCUGUUUUUCUACAUUUACUUUUGUUUCGUUUUUUCGUCAAGUUGUUGGGGGAUUUUUGAAUUAUUCUAUGGCUCUUACUGUUCCUGAAAAGAUGGUGGAAAUGGGAAAUUAAUAGACAAGAAAGAAUUGAAAAUAGAGAGGUGGAAGUGUUAAAUAAAUGAGCCCAGGUAAAUAGUAAUUUGAAAGAUAAAAAGUUGUUUAUACUUACUAUUAUACGAUGUUACAUUAAAUGAGCAGUUGGAGAUUUGUUCUGGGGUGAUCAUGGGGGAGGAAUCCUGAUGAUCUAAACCAGAACCUGAAUAAAAAAUUGAUCUAAGCCAGCUACAGAAAACCCCAUUUGCUACAUUAAUCUAAUCAAUCAAUAUUGAAUUGGUCCCUUCUGACAGCUCCCCAUCAACGACUACUUUCUGCUAUAUAUAAUCUCCGUUUCAUGCAGGCUUUUAUCUCAGCCGACACCCACCAAAAACAAAACCACCUUCGCCCCCCUCCCUCCUUCCUUUUCUCUUCCGAACAGGGAAACUCCUGCACAUUGCCAGAGGGUGGUGUUCCUCAGUGAUCAUCGAUGACAGGUCCGCGGGCCGACCCGGUGAGGGGUCGGUUUUGGCCCCAAGUGUUAGUGGCCUUGGCCAUUGUUGUUGUUGCAAGCAAUGUAGGUUCAGUGUCUGCAGAUGCUUAUCCAUACUCAUCACCUCCUCCACCUUAUGAGUACAAGUCACCUCCACCGCCAUCUCCUUCUCCACCACCACCAUAUGAGUAUAAAUCUCCACCACCACCACCACCUUAUGAGUACAAGUCCCCACCUCCACCAUCUCCAUCACCACCUCCUCCAUACCACUACCACUCUCCACCACCACCAAAGCAUGAAGAAAAACCCCCGUACUACUACAAAUCUCCACCACCUCCAUCCCCAUCCCCACCUCCUCCAUACUAUUACGAGUCUCCACCACCACCAAAACAUGAAGAAAAACCACCAUACUACUACAAGUCUCCUCCACCUCCAUCUCCAUCACCACCUCCUCCAUACUACUACAAGUCUCCACCACCACCAAAACAUGAAGAAAAACCCCCAUACUACUACAAGUCUCCUCCACCUCCAGUAAAGCCUCCACCAAAACCAUAUUAUUAUAAAUCUCCUCCACCACCAUCUCCUUCACCACCUCCACCUUACUACUAUAAGUCUCCACCACCACCUUCACCAUCUCCUCGACCUCCUUACUACUACAAGUCUCCACCACCUCCUCCACAUUACGUCUCACCACCAUACUAUUAUAAAUCUCCACCACCACCAGCUAAAUCUCCUCCUUACUACUACAAUUCUCCCCCACCACCAGCUCCUUAUUACCCUGCCCCUCACCCUUAUCCCCACCACCAUCCACUCAUAGUCAAGGUGGUUGGUAAAGUUUACUGCUACAGAUGCUAUGACUGGGGAUAUCCAGUGAAGUCACACGACAAGAAACAUCUUAAAGGUAAAAUUCUUUCAACUUUCCCAAUUUUCUAGCACUAUCAAACCUUAGUUCAUUAUCAUUCACCACAAAAAAAAAAAGCAAAAACAUUUUAGAUCAUUCUUAUUUCACAUUUUCUUUUUCAUUAGCUGGACUUUCACUUUGUUAAUUUCAAAUUUUUGUAGCACUUUGUCAUCUGCUUUAGAAGUUAAAAUAAAGGUAGCAAGAUCUUUACAAUAUUUUAAUUUAGAAGACCUAAAUCUAACAAUUGAAAGGAAUCAGAAUAUAUUCUUGUGGUAACAAAUUUAAUUUAAAAAACUGAAUAGGCUAAGAAAGAAAACAAAGAUUUUCUUUGUUUCUUAAUUAUAUGUUAAUUUGUAUCUAAAUUAAAACAACCCUUUUCUAUGAUAUAUAUAAUAUUAUAGUUUUGUUGAUAAUAAUAUAGUAUAUUAUUUGGGUUAGCUCAAUUAAGGAAAGAGUAAAUGAAAUGAAUAUUUUAUAUUCAAACCAUAUACUUUUAUUAUUUAAAAAAUAGGCUUGGUUGAAUACAAGCUCUCUUUGCCCAUUUUGUUGUGCAGUAUAGAUUAAGUUGCAAUCUUGGAGGAAAAUAAAGUUGUCCUGAUUAAGGGUUGCACUAAUUACAAUUGGAAUUAACGUAUCAAAUGCCUUAUUGAAAGUUAAAAUAAAUAUAAUUAUAUUAAUUCAUGAAAAGACGAAAUUAGUUAUUAAAGUUAGUGAUGACUAAAGAUAAUUCAUUAUUUUGGUUGACUUUUUAACAACAAUUUGAUACUAAAAUGAUUUGGCUUUUAUUAUUGCACAUGGAACAGGUGCUGUUGUGGAAGUAACUUGCAAUGUCGGUGAAAAGAAGGUUAAGGCCUAUGGAAAAACCAAGAUCAAUGGAAAAUUCAGCAUCACGGUUGAAGGAUUUGACUAUGCCAAAUAUGGAGCCGAGGCAUGCAAGGCCAAGCUCCACGCUGCACCCACUGGUUCACCAUGCAACAUUCCCACCAGUCUACACGAGGGCAACACGGGUGCUGAGCUCAAGGUGAAGUCAAAGACCAAGUACGAGGUUGUGCUCAAGGCUAAGCCAUUUGCCUAUGCUCCAAAGACUCCUUACAAGGAGUGUGAAAAGCCGAAGCCAAAGCCGAAGCCUCCAACUCCUUACUACUAUACUUCUCCACCACCACCUACACCCGUUUAUAUCUAUAAAUCACCACCUCCUCCACCACCAACAUACGUCUACAAGUCACCACCACCUCCAUCCCACCCAUACAAGCCACCAACUGAGCCAUACAAACCACCACCAUACUACUACAAAUCUCCACCUCCACCAUCACCCUCCUACAUCUAUAAGUCACCACCCCCACCAACCCCCACUUACGUUUACAAAUCACCACCACCUCCAUCUCACCCAUACAAGCCACCAACUGAACCAUACAAACCACCACCAUACUACUACAAGUCCCCACCUCCACCAUCACCCACCUACGUCUACAAAUCACCACCACCUCCAUCUCACCCAUACAAGCCACCAACUGAGCCAUACAAACCACCACCAUACUACUACAAAUCUCCACCUCCACCAUCACCCACCUACGUCUACAAGUCACCACCCCCACCAACCCCUACUUACGUCUACAAAUCACCACCACCUCCAUCUCACCCAUACAAGCCACCAACUGAGCCACACAAACCACCACCAUACUACUACAAGUCACCACCUCCACCAUCGCCUACUUACAUCUACAAAUCACCACCACCUCCAUCUCACCCAUACAAGCCACCAACUGAGCCACACAAGCCACCACCAUACUACUACAAGUCACCACCUCCACCAUCGCCUACUUACAUCUACAAAUCACCACCACCUCCACCAUACUACUAUAAAUCCCCACCACCUCCAUCUCCAUCCCCACCUCCUCCAUACUAUUACGAGUCUCCACCACCACCAAAACACGAAGAAAAACCUCCAUACUACUACAAGUCUCCUCCACCUCCAUCUCCAUCCCCACCUCCUCCAUACUACUACAAGUCUCCACCACCUCCUCCACAUUACGUCUCACCACCAUACUAUUAUAAAUCUCCACCACCACCAUCGCCAUCUCCUCUUCCACCAUACUACUACAAAUCCCCGCCACCACCAGUCCAUUCUCCACCACCACCAUACUAUUACAAAUCUCCACCACCACCAUCGCCAUCUCCUCUUCCACCAUACUACUACAAAUCACCUCCACCUCCUUCACCCUCUCCCACACCCCCAUAUUAUUACAAGUCUCCACCACCACCAGUCCAUUCCCCUCCACCACCAUACUACUACAAAUCACCACCACCUCCAAUAAAGUCUCCAGCACCAGUCUACCACUACAACUCUCCUCCUCCACCAUCACCAUCUCCUCAUCCUCCAUAUUACUACAAAUCCCCACCACCUCCAUCUCCAUCACCAUUACCCCCAUAUUACUACAAAUCUCCUCCUCCACCGUCGCCAUCUCCUCUUCCACCCUAUUACUACAAAUCCCCACCACCACCAGUCCACUCUCCACCACCACCAUACUACUACAAGUCCCCACCACCACCAUCGCCAUCUCCUCUUCCACCAUACUACUACAAAUCCCCUCCACCUCCUUCACCCUCUCCUCCACCACCAUACUAUUACAAAUCACCACCACCUCCAGUAGAGGCUCCGGCACCAACCUAUCACUACAAAUCCCCACCACCACCAUACUACUACAACUCUCCCCCACCACCCCCAUAUUAUUACAAGUCCCCACCCCCACCUUCCCCAUCACCACCACCUCCCUACUACUACAAGUCUCCACCUCCACCUUCCCCGUCACCACCACAUCCUUACUAUUACAAAUCCCCACCUCCUCCCUCACCCUCACCCCUUCCCCCAUAUUACUACCACUCACCUCCCCCACCAGUGACAUCACCUCCACCUCCGGUCUACAUUUACGCUUCUCCUCCACCACCAACUCACUACUAGGCUCAGAAAGAUCAACCACAAAAUUACAUCGUUCAUGUAAGUAAUAGUUUAGUUAAACCUAUCAUUAUUAGUUAUCAUCCAACGAUUUAUUUCAUAUUCUAAUUACUUUUCUGCAUUUAAAUUUCAGGU
Molecule: long non-coding RNA, 30900 nt
Filed under: Theobroma cacao (cacao)
Lineage: Eukaryota; Viridiplantae; Streptophyta; Magnoliopsida; Malvales; Malvaceae
Description: long non-coding RNA (TCAC_LNC002702)
Source: RNAcentral